This 1080-nucleotide long non-coding RNA is filed under the name Ursus maritimus (polar bear). RNAcentral's name for it is "lncRNA (ENSUMAG00000013489.1)". Lineage: Eukaryota; Metazoa; Chordata; Mammalia; Carnivora; Ursidae. The record is from RNAcentral.
UAAUCAUCUAAUUUGCUGAUUACAGGUCUCAAAUUGCCACAGAGAACUCAAUUUUUGAAAGAAUUGUCCUGUUUGAUCAAAUAUGUUAUUCAAGCAAUGCAGUCAUUUGUUCCACAAGGUUACCUGCCAGGCAGAGCUAACCAGGAGUAAUAGCAUUAGAAGCCUAUACUUAAAAUCAAGCAUUAGCUAAUCUGUCUGUGACAAUAGAGUCUUAAAUAUAAUUUGCUGCAGAUACUUCAGUUCCUGCACCGACAGACAAUUGCAUUUUGUAUUCAACGAGCAUAGAUUUUUCCUGCCUCAUCCCAAUUCCGAAUUUAACUCCCGAAGACUCUAAUGUGCUCAGUUUCACAGGUUUACCAGGUACUAUUUCCCAGGAGCCCCAGACGGGAGGGCAACGCUGUCCUGUACUGAAUAACGACUCCCUCUGCUCCCCGCCGCCCUGCCCGUCUCUUAAAUCAUUUUUCCUGAUCAAUGCCAAUUCCCAAAAUUGUGUAGCCUCUGACUGCAGUGAGUUCUGGGCUGAUGCUGGCUUCCCCGGGGUGGUGUGUGAGGUGCCCUCCGUCGUGAGCCCCGGCUCUGCGCUGGGCACCCCCAGGGCUGGAGACCAAAGAGCACGGAUACAAUCCCAGAGCGCAGGUGAGCAGGUCUGGAACCCGGGGAGCAUGGGGGCGUGGGAAAGGCCUGGAGCAGGGCCGGUACUUCAGUUGGAGAGGGUGCUGCUGUGUCCGCACCCCCCCCCCCCCCCCCAGCCAGUGAAAAGCGGUCACGGUCACGAGUCAGCGGAAGAAGAAGGAGAGAAGGCAGAGGAGGUGACAGAGGCCACGUCACAAGGGGCUUUUACGCGUCAGGCUGGACACAGGCCCGAUGUCCCCGGCAGCAGGGAGCUGGUGUUUGUGAAGAGGACAGUGAUGGGCUCACAGCUACAUCUGGAGGCUGACAUUGAAGAAACAAGCCCAGAUUCAUGCCUCUCAGGGUCCUGGGAACAUGACUGUGCGCUCCAUGCACGAGUGAUUUCUAAGUGGCCCUGCCUCAGUGACUGCCCCACCUCUCCCUUUAGGCCAGUCCCUGUGCUGGCCGGCC